This 752-nucleotide long non-coding RNA is filed under the name Trifolium pratense (red clover). RNAcentral's name for it is "long non-coding RNA (TPRA_LNC003870)". Lineage: Eukaryota; Viridiplantae; Streptophyta; Magnoliopsida; Fabales; Fabaceae. The record is from RNAcentral.
AUCAAAGGACAAGUAUGAGGUUGUGCUUAAGGCUAAGCCAUUUGCUUAUGCUUCAAAGAAACAUUUUAAAGAAUGUGACAAGCCCAAGCCUUCACCAACUCCAUACUACUACAAAUCACCUCCACCUCCCUCACCUGUUUACAAGUACAACUCUCCACCUCCACCAGUCCAUUAUUAUUCACCACCAUAUUACUACAAAUCACCUCCUCCUCCAGUAAAAUCGCCACCAACACCUUACUACUACAAAUCACCUCCACCUCCCUCACCAGUUUACAAGUACAACUCACCACCUCCACCGGUCCAUUAUUACUCUCCUCCAUAUUCCUAUAAGUCGCCUCCACCUCCCUCACCAGUUUACAAAUACAACUCCCCACCUCCACCAGUCCACCAUUAUGAUCCUCCAUAUUACUACAAGUCACCUCCACCUCCCUCACCAGUUUACAAGUACAACUCCCCACCUCCACCAGUCCAUUAUUAUUCACCUCCAUAUUACUACAAAUCCCCACCUCCUCCUGUGAAAUCCCCACCACCCCCUUACUACUAUAAAUCACCUCCACCUCCCUCACCAGUUUACAAAUACAACUCACCACCUCCACCGGUUUACAAGUACAACUCACCACCUCCACCAGUCCACCAUUAUGAUCCUCCAUAUAACUACAAGUCACCUCCACCUCCUUCACCUGUUUACAAGUACAACUCCCCACCUCCACCAGUCCAUUAUUAUUCACCUCCAUAUUACUACAAAUCACNNN